UACGAAGGGGGCGAGCGUUGUUCGGAUUUACUGGGUGUAAAGGGCGCGUAGGCGGCCCUCUUUGUCGCGUGUGAAAGCCCUGGGCUCAACCUGGGAAUUGCGCGCGAAACGGGGGGGCUUGAGUUCGGGAGAGGAGCGUGGAAUUCCCAGUGUAGAGGUGAAAUUCGUAGAUAUUGGGAAGAACACCGGUGGCGAAGGCGGCGCUCUGGACCGAGACUGACGCUGAGGCACGAAAGCGUGGGGAGCAAACAGG
RNAcentral lists this ribosomal RNA (253 nucleotides) under uncultured bacterium. RNAcentral's name for it is "partial 16S ribosomal RNA". It matches the Rfam family "Bacterial small subunit ribosomal RNA", at positions 524 to 776 of the family's 1533-position model. The record is from RNAcentral.